GACGAACGCUGGCGGCGUGCCUAAUACAUGCAAGUAGAACGCUGAAGAGAGGAGCUUACUCUUCUUGGAUGAGUUGUGAACGGGUGAGUAACGCGUAGGUAACCUGCCUUGUAGCGGGGGAUAACUAUUGGAAACGAUAGCUAAUACCGCAUGACAAUGGAUGACACAUGUCAUUUAUUUGAAAGGGGCAAUUGCUCCACUACAAGAUGGACCUGCGUUGUAUUAGCUAGUAGGUGAGGUAAUGGCUCACCUAGGCGACGAUACAUAGCCGACCUGAGAGGGUGAUCGGCCACACUGGGACUGAGACACGGCCCAGACUCCUACGGGAGGCAGCAGUAGGGAAUCUUCGGCAAUGGGGGCAACCCUGACCGAGCAACGCCGCGUGAGUGAAGAAGGUUUUCGGAUCGUAAAGCUCUGUUGUAAGUCAAGAACGGGUGUGAGAGUGGAAAGUUCACACUGUGACGGUAGCUUACCAGAAAGGGACGGCUAACUACGUG
Molecule: ribosomal RNA, 497 nt
Filed under: uncultured bacterium
Lineage: Bacteria
Description: partial 16S ribosomal RNA
Rfam family: Bacterial small subunit ribosomal RNA
Source: RNAcentral